GAUGAACGCUAGCGGCAGGCUUAAUACAUGCAAGUUGAGGGGCAGCAUGAUAUACGCGAGUAUAUUGAUGGCGACCGGCGGACGGGUGAGUAAUAGGUAGGAGACCUACCUCAUACAGGGGGAUAGCAUAGAGAAAUCUGUGGUAAUACCCCAUGAGGUUAUAUGAAUAGAGGCAUAUAAUCAAAGCAUAAGCGAUUAUGCGGUAUGAGAGGGGCCUACUGACCAUUAGCUAGUUGGUGAGGUAAGGGCUCACCAAGGCGAAGAUGGUUAGGGGUUUUGAGGGAGAGACCCCCCACAUUGGAACUGAGAGACGGUCCAGACUCCUACGGGAGGCAGCAGUAGGGAAUAUUGGGCAAUGGGCGAAAGCCUGACCCAGCCAUGCCGCGUGAAGGAAGACGGCCUUAUGGGUUGUAAACUUCUUUACUACGCGAAUAGAGGUUAGUACGAGAUACUAAUAGGAAGGUAGUGUAGUAAAAAGCACCGGCUAACUCCGUGCC
This 497-nucleotide ribosomal RNA is filed under the name uncultured bacterium. Its description in RNAcentral is "bacterial SSU rRNA". It matches the Rfam family "Bacterial small subunit ribosomal RNA", at positions 28 to 509 of the family's 1533-position model. The record is from RNAcentral.